This 2789-nucleotide ribosomal RNA is filed under the name Drosophila melanogaster (fruit fly). RNAcentral's name for it is "eukaryotic LSU rRNA". The stretch from base 576 to 2789 matches the Rfam family "Eukaryotic large subunit ribosomal RNA", at positions 1 to 1917 of the family's 3401-position model. The record is from RNAcentral. Lineage: Eukaryota; Metazoa; Arthropoda; Insecta; Diptera; Drosophilidae.
AAAACUCUAAGCGGUGGAUCACUCGGCUCAUGGGUCGAUGAAGAACGCAGCAAACUGUGCGUCAUCGUGUGAACUGCAGGACACAUGAACAUCGACAUUUUGAACGCAUAUCGCAGUCCAUGCUGUUAUGUACUUUAAUUAAUUUUAUAGUGCUGCUUGGACUACAUAUGGUUGAGGGUUGUAAGACUAUGCUAAUUAAGUUGCUUAUAAAUUUUUAUAAGCAUAUGGUAUAUUAUUGGAUAAAUAUAAUAAUUUUUAUUCAUAAUAUUAAAAAAUAAAUGAAAAACAUUAUCUCACAUUUGAAUGUGAAAAACGAAGAGAAAUAUUUUCUUUUUCAAUCAAAUAAUACUGAGAAAUGUCUAGCAUAAAAAAUUGAAAUAUUUUUCAUCUAGAAUUGUCUCUUAUUAAUGAUUCGGAAAUAGAAAAAUCUUGGUUAUGUUAUUAUUCUUCGUUGGUUCGUUAAAAAUGGAUAAAUAAAAACUUUGCAUACAAGAAUUAAUAAAAAUGUUAUAACGAAUUUAAUUAAAUGUUUUAUCAUUAUAUAUAAAGAAUUUAUGGCAAGAUAAAGUUAUAUACAACCUCAACUCAUAUGGGACUACCCCCUGAAUUUAAGCAUAUUAAUUAGGGGAGGAAAAGAAACUAACAAGGAUUUUCUUAGUAGCGGCGAGCGAAAAGAAAACAGUUCAGCACUAAGUCACUUUGUCUAUAUGGCAAAUGUGAGAUGCAGUGUAUGGAGCGUCAAUAUUCUAGUAUGAGAAAUUAACGAUUUAAGUCCUUCUUAAAUGAGGCCAUUUACCCAUAGAGGGUGCCAGGCCCGUAUAACGUUAAUGAUUACUAGAUGAUGUUUCCAAAGAGUCGUGUUGCUUGAUAGUGCAGCACUAAGUGGGUGGUAAACUCCAUCUAAAACUAAAUAUAACCAUGAGACCGAUAGUAAACAAGUACCGUGAGGGAAAGUUGAAAAGAACUCUGAAUAGAGAGUUAAACAGUACGUGAAACUGCUUAGAGGUUAAGCCCGAUGAACCUGAAUAUCCGUUAUGGAAAAUUCAUCAUUAAAAUUGUAAUAUUUAAAUAAUAUUAUGAGAAUAGUGUGCAUUUUUUCCAUAUAAGGACAUUGUAAUCUAUUAGCAUAUACCAAAUUUAUCAUAAAAUAUAACUUAUAGUUUAUUCCAAUUAAAUUGCUUGCAUUUUAACACAGAAUAAAUGUUAUUAAUUUGAUAAAGUGCUGAUAGAUUUAUAUGAUUACAGUGCGUUAAUUUUUCGGAAUUAUAUAAUGGCAUAAUUAUCAUUGAUUUUUGUGUUUAUUAUAUGCACUUGUAUGAUUAACAAUGCGAAAGAUUCAGGAUACCUUCGGGACCCGUCUUGAAACACGGACCAAGGAGUCUAACAUAUGUGCAAGUUAUUGGGAUAUAAACCUAAUAGCGUAAUUAACUUGACUAAUAAUGGGAUUAGUUUUUUAGCUAUUUAUAGCUAAUUAACACAAUCCCGGGGCGUUCUAUAUAGUUAUGUAUAAUGUAUAUUUAUAUUAUUUAUGCCUCUAACUGGAACGUACCUUGAGCAUAUAUGCUGUGACCCGAAAGAUGGUGAACUAUACUUGAUCAGGUUGAAGUCAGGGGAAACCCUGAUGGAAGACCGAAACAGUUCUGACGUGCAAAUCGAUUGUCAGAAUUGAGUAUAGGGGCGAAAGACCAAUCGAACCAUCUAGUAGCUGGUUCCUUCCGAAGUUUCCCUCAGGAUAGCUGGUGCAUUUUAAUAUUAUAUAAAAUAAUCUUAUCUGGUAAAGCGAAUGAUUAGAGGCCUUAGGGUCGAAACGAUCUUAACCUAUUCUCAAACUUUAAAUGGGUAAGAACCUUAACUUUCUUGAUAUGAAGUUCAAGGUUAUGAUAUAAUGUGCCCAGUGGGCCACUUUUGGUAAGCAGAACUGGCGCUGUGGAUGAACCAAACGUAAUGUUACGGUGCCCAAAUUAACAACUCAUGCAGAUACCAUGAAAGGCGUUGGUUGCUUAAAACAGCAGGACGGUGAUCAUGGAAGUCGAAAUCCGCUAAGGAGUGUGUAACAACUCACCUGCCGAAGCAACUAGCCCUUAAAAUGGAUGGCGCUUAAGUUGUAUACCUAUACAUUACCGCUAAAGUAGAUGAUUUAUAUUACUUGUGAUAUAAAUUUUGAAACUUUAGUGAGUAGGAAGGUACAAUGGUAUGCGUAGAAGUGUUUGGCGUAAGCCUGCAUGGAGCUGCCAUUGGUACAGAUCUUGGUGGUAGUAGCAAAUAAUCGAAUGAGACCUUGGAGGACUGAAGUGGAGAAGGGUUUCGUGUGAACAGUGGUUGAUCACGAGUUAGUCGGUCCUAAGUUCAAGGCGAAAGCCGAAAAUUUUCAAGUAAAACAAAAAUGCCUAACUAUAUAAACAAAGCGAAUUAUAAUACACUUGAAUAAUUUUGAACGAAAGGGAAUACGGUUCCAAUUCCGUAACCUGUUGAGUAUCCGUUUGUUAUUAAAUAUGGGCCUCGUGCUCAUCCUGGCAACAGGAACGACCAUAAAGAAGCCGUCGAGAGAUAUCGGAAGAGUUUUCUUUUCUGUUUUAUAGCCGUACUACCAUGGAAGUCUUUCGCAGAGAGAUAUGGUAGAUGGGCUAGAAGAGCAUGACAUAUACUGUUGUGUCGAUAUUUUCUCCUCGGACCUUGAAAAUUUAUGGUGGGGACACGCAAACUUCUCAACAGGCCGUACCAAUAUCCGCAGCUGGUCUCCAAGGUGAAGAGUCUCUAGUCGAUAGAAUAAUGUAGGUAAGGGAAGUCGG